GAUGAAGAACGUAGCGAAAUGCGAUAAGUAAUGUGAAUUGCAGAAUUCAGUGAAUCAUCGAAUCUUUGAACGCACCUUGCACCCUUUGGCAUUCCGAAGGGUAUGCUCGUUUGAGUGUCAUUGUACUCUCACUCUCCCGAUACUUUUGGAUCGGGAGUGGUGGACUUGGGUGCUGCUGCUUAACUGUGGCUCGCCUUAAAUGAAGUAGUGCAACUCUCGGUUGGACAUAGUACGGCGUGAUAAGUGUCUUCGCCGGCGCCUCAUUCGAGGGUGGCCGAUCGGGAGCUCUGUGCUUCAAACUGUCUUCGGACAACAUCUGACAACUUGACCUCAAAUCAAGUAGGACUACCCGCUGAACUUAAGCAUAUCAAUAAGCGGAGGA
RNAcentral lists this unclassified non-coding RNA (382 nucleotides) under soil metagenome. RNAcentral's name for it is "partial contains 5.8S ribosomal RNA, internal transcribed spacer 2, and large subunit ribosomal RNA". The stretch from base 1 to 120 matches the Rfam family "5.8S ribosomal RNA", at positions 35 to 154 of the family's 154-position model. The record is from RNAcentral.